Molecule: ribosomal RNA, 289 nt
Filed under: uncultured bacterium
Lineage: Bacteria
Description: partial 16S ribosomal RNA
Rfam family: Bacterial small subunit ribosomal RNA
Source: RNAcentral
CGGGGGAAAGCAGGGGACCUUCGGGCCUUGCGCGAUUGGAUGAACCCAGGUGGGAUUAGCUAGUUGGUGAGGUAAUGGCUCACCAAGGCGACGAUCCCUAGCUGGUCUGAGAGGAUGAUCAGCCACACUGGAACUGAGACACGGUCCAGACUCCUACGGGAGGCAGCAGUGGGGAAUAUUGCACAAUGGGGGAAACCCUGAUGCAGCCAUGCCGCGUGUGUGAAGAAGGCCUUCGGGUUGUAAAGCACUUUCAGCGAGGAGGAAAGGUUGGUAGCUAAUAACUGCCAGC